This 549-nucleotide ribosomal RNA is filed under the name uncultured Glomeromycotina. RNAcentral's name for it is "SSU rRNA". It matches the Rfam family "Eukaryotic small subunit ribosomal RNA", at positions 548 to 1098 of the family's 1831-position model. The record is from RNAcentral. Lineage: Eukaryota; Fungi; Glomeromycota.
UUGGAGGGCAAGUCUGGUGCCAGCAGCCGCGGUAAUUCCAGCUCCAAUAGCGUAUAUUAAAGUUGUUGCAGUUAAAAAGCUCGUAGUUGAAUUUCGGGAUCAAUAUAUUGGUCGUGCCUCCGGUAUGCACUGGUAUUAUUGAUUUCUACCUUCUGACGAACUAUGAUGUCAUUAAUUUGGUGUCAUGGGGAAUCAGGACUGUUACUUUGAAAAAAUUAGAGUGUUUAAAGCAGGCACACGCUUGAAUACAUUAGCAUGGAAUAAUGAAAUAGGACGUUUGACCCUAUUUUGUUGGUUUCUAGGAUCGACGUAAUGAUUAAUAGGGAUAGUUGGGGGCAUUAGUAUUCAAUUGUCAGAGGUGAAAUUCUUGGAUUUAUUGAAGACUAACUACUGCGAAAGCAUUUGCCAAGGAUGUUUUCAUUAAUCAAGAACGAAAGUUAGGGGAUCGAAGACGAUCAGAUACCGUCGUAGUCUUAACCAUAAACUAUGCCGACUAGGGAUCGGAUGAUGUUAAUUUUUUAAUGACUCAUUCGGCGCCUUACGGGAAAC